AACAAGAAAAAUUGGUUUUUCUGGAGCACAAAUUCUUUGAGUUAAGAGAGCUAUUUUAACAUCCAACGUUCAAGCACAACUCUCUUUUUCACCAAUCUCACUCAUUGCCAACUUCUUCCCUUUUCUUUUAUUUUUACAUUGAGCUCAUCUUUCAUGCUUUUUCUUUUCUUCUUUUUUUCUUUUCUCAUGCAUUUUUCUUUUUCACCUUUGAGUUCAAUGCUUCUCUUUUUCCUUUUAACUUCCCCUAAACAACCCCAAACUUGAACCUUUUCAAUACAUACAAUUAUUCUCAACCCAACUCAAGGUAAUUAAUUC
This 315-nucleotide long non-coding RNA is filed under the name Vigna radiata. Its description in RNAcentral is "long non-coding RNA (VRAD_LNC014976)". Lineage: Eukaryota; Viridiplantae; Streptophyta; Magnoliopsida; Fabales; Fabaceae. The record is from RNAcentral.